AUAAAUAAGCGGAGGAAAAGAAACCAAACGGGAUUCCCUUAGUAACGGCGAGCGAAAAGGGAAAUGUCCAGCACCAAGUCUUGACAUCUACGGUGUUCAAGAGAUGCGGUGUUAAUGUAUCGACCCAUCGUGCACUGUUCCACAUUUCAAGUUCCUACGACCGGGACUUCCAGAGCGGGUGUAAGACCCAUAGAGAUGAGGAACCAGUGUAUGCUGAGCGAUGCAUUCUAGAGUCAGGUUGCUUGAGAGUGCAGCUUAAAGUCGGUGGUAAACUCCAUCCAAGACUAAAUAUUACAGCGAGACCGAUAGCAAACAAGUACCGUGAGGGAAAGUUGCAAAGCACUUUGAAGAGAGAGUUCAAAAGUACGUGAAACCACUGGGAGGCAAACAGAUGGAACCACGAAGUGUGCGCCUCGGUCGAUUCAAUCAUCACCAUUUGUCAGUUUUUGKYAAUUAGGAUCUUUUCGGAGAUUGAUUGCCAAGAAUUAUGAUGGAUGGUGUUGGUGCAUUUCGUGCCGGGGAUGCUAAGCCACGUUCAACUAGAGUUGGGACGGCUGUAAGAAAGAAUCCGAGAAAGGUGCCCGUCACGUGCUUGCAUUUGACGGUGUUAUAGWCUUGGAUUGGCACCGUCACCUAACAUACUGGUUGAUGCAAAUUCUCCAUUUGGAGUUGAACCAUGUCUGCCUGUGGCUGUUAGUCGAUGUUGCGUAAUGUUCUUUGCGUAUCUUUCGAUGCGAAAAGACUUUGCAAAGAUGUCGGCYAAUGGUUGCUUGCGUGASAUGGUGGAACUGUGGCGCGAGUAGGUCGGUCUCCAUCUGACCCGUCUUGAAACACGGACCAAGGAGCCUAUCAUAUACGCGAGUCGCACGGUCUUGUWUAGGCCUGUGAGGCGGAAUGAAAGUAAWGUUACGAGGCUUCGGCUGCAGUAACGGCUCGCCCACUUUGUUUAUUGGCAAUAUGGCGAAGCUGGAGCGUAUACGAUGGUACCCGAAAGAUGGUGAACUAUGCCUGGGCAAGACGAAGCCAGAGGAAACUCUGGUGGAGGUCUGUAGCGAUUCUGACGUGCAAAUCGAUCGUCAGACCUGGGUAUAGGGGCGAAAGACUAAUCGAACCAUCUAGUAGCUGGUUCCCUCCGAAGUUUCCCUCAGGAUAGCAGGCGUUUAUUUGGCAGUCUCAUCCGGUAAAGCUAAUGAUUAGAGGUCUUGGGGUUGAAACGACCUCAACCUAUUCUCAAACUUUAAAUGGGUGAGAUGGUUGACUUUCUUGAUUGAAGCCAACCAUUUGGAUGCAAAUGCCUAGUGGGCCAUUUUUGGUAAGCAGAACUGGCGCUGUGGGAUGAACCAAACGUCGAGAUAAGGCAUCAAAUGCGUACGCUCAUCAGACCCCAUGAAAGGUGUUGGUUGCUAUAGACAGCAGGACGGUGGCCAUGGAAGUCGGAAUCCGCUAAGGAGUGUGUAACAACUCACCUGCCGAAGCAACUAGCCCUGAAAAUGGACGAUGCUGUAGCGUGGAGCCGAUACUCGACCGUUAUGACGAUUCCUUKAAGAAUGCGAUGUCAUAACGAGUAGGAGGGCCGCAGUGUUAGCGUUGAAGGUGUCCGGCGUGAGCCGGCCUGGAGCUAUCAUUGUU
RNAcentral lists this ribosomal RNA (1629 nucleotides) under Proctophyllodes neopinnatus. RNAcentral describes it as "eukaryotic LSU rRNA". It matches the Rfam family "Eukaryotic large subunit ribosomal RNA", at positions 42 to 1443 of the family's 3401-position model. The record is from RNAcentral. Lineage: Eukaryota; Metazoa; Arthropoda; Arachnida; Sarcoptiformes; Proctophyllodidae.